AAGCCAGGAUUUAGAGACGGGGGGUGCCAUCUACGAGACGUGGUAACUCACUUAAGGUUCGGUGAACAGUGACAUUGUAGCGUUGAUGUAUGAUCACUAACUCGACAUCAUACAUGUUAUAGCGAUUAGCUAGAAGAGAGAAUGAGAACCUAUAGAUCAUAAUUUGCCAAUUUAAACAGUUUGUUCCAUGAUUUUAAUUGGAGUCUUGCAAUCAUUUUUAAAAUGAUAAAUCAGUUAACUAAGUCAUUUCAUAAGUCCUAUAUAUAUAGCUAGGCAGUUGUCCUAUAUAGUUAGUCUCAUCCGUAACUAAUGAUGUAAUUAAUGGCUAGAUUAUAAGGGCUAAUUAUCUUUGGGAGAAGAGAGGGGAGGGGAGGUCACAUAGGGGUUAGGGGGGUGUUGGCCCUCCCUGGCCCCUACGGUGGCUUCGCCACUGUGUCCGAUGAUGGAUCAGACGACAGGAAGGCGCGCAUGAUGAGGUACUCGGCGAGCUCGUCGGCCUUCGCCUGGGUCGGUGGCCGGUCGUCGCGCUGCUCCAUGGUCCAGUCAUACUGGACGAUCUCGUAGUCGUAGUCAUCUUCGUCGUCGUCGGCGGCGGCGGCGCUCUGGCUGCGGUGCCUGACGUGCUCGAUGGUGUCGACCGGCGGGAGCGAGUCGAUCUGCUGGCCGGUGACGGGGUUGACGAGGCGGAGCUCGGCGGAGUCGGCGUCGGCGGUGACGAUCCAGCCGUGGGAGCUGCCCAGCUAGAACCUGUUGCGGAUGGGGGGCUCAGCCGGCAGGGUCACCUCGUACGUCCUCCCGCCGCCGGCGAGAGCAAAUACGGUGGCGACGCGGUGCCGGUCGCCGUGGUCGUUGCCUUGGUCAGCCGUGUAGACUAGGCACGGGGGCGGCGGGCGGCGGGAGAAGAGCGGGUGGCGCUCACGGACAGAGGCAGCGGCGGCGUGCCAGGAGCGGCAGACGGCGGCGCAGCGGAGGAGGUCGGCGGGGUCGUUGAAGGUGUGGAAGACGGUGGCGAGGAGGUCGAACACCAUGUCCGACCAGCUCACCGGCGACCAGCCGGCGCCGGUCGAUAGGUCCAUCACGCAAAGCGCGCGCGGCUUGGGCUAGCAAGCUUGACGGCUUAGUGCGUGGCAACGUAAGAUAUGACAUGAAGAGGUUAAGGUUGGUUAGUCAUGAUUCCGAGUCAGUAACUAACUGUACCGUGCUAUACCAAUCGGAGAGGUUCACUAUAUCGGUUCAGGGUUUUCUAUCAGGGGUCACCGAAAUCCCAAAAUUUCAAAGAAAUUUAGUUGAAUUUGAACAAAUAUUAUCCAAAUUUGUGAAAAAAUUCAAAAAUUCAAAAAUUUCGGCCGAAUUAAUAUCGUAUCAGGGUCACCAAAAUUACCGAAAUUUCCAACCCUCGGACUAGGUAAUCACGCAGAUUGGAUCGAUCCAUGCAAGUGCAGCCAAUUUUGAGCCCAAGAUCGGCAGAUCCCCCGGCCGCCGCCGUCGCCGCCGCCGGUGAGACUGAUCUCCAACUGAAUGUUUGCUCGAUUCUUCUGACGGCAGCAGCAUUGUCCUCUACCGAUCCCGAUCAAGAUCGAUUUGUCCAUCCUAUCCUCAGGUGUGUGUUUUCUCCUUCUCAUGUUAGUUAAUACUACCUCCGUUCCAAAAUAUAAACAUUUUUGGACUCCGACACGGUCUUCGAGAUGUUACUUUGACCAAUAAUAUCUAUAAAAUUAAAAUAGUUUAAAUAAAAAAAUUGUAUAUUAUGAUAGUUUGUUCAGCGAUAAAUCUAGUAACAUCAAUUUUACGUGAUUGAUCUUUUUUUUGCUAUUAAUAGUCAAAGUUAAAAAUGUUUGACUUGUUACAGAGGGAGCAUAUCCUUUAGCUACAGUCUUAGAGUUCUGGAUUGUAACCAAUUCUCUUUUCUUUUUAAUUCUCUAUAUGGUGGAGAAGACUGGCAGUUCUAUCGAUUUUUGGAGGUGUAACAAGGUAAGAUGUUUGUUGAAAUUGAAGUUCUUCUGAUCAUCUUUUUUUUUGGAACGAAAUAUAAAAAUAGAUUUCAGACUGGAGUCACUGGACAAUAUUACAAUUACGAUUCAACCGUGAUGGAUGGAUGCUAAGACGAGCCCUUUUAAAUAUGCCCUUUGAUGAUAGAUUUUUUUUUUGGAUCUCAGAAGAUGGGCAUUAGCAGUCAUCAUGAUCGUUAUGGUGUUGAUCGUCCCACAGAUGAUGAAAAAAAUGAUGGGGCAACUAAAGACCAUUUGGGUGAUUGUAAAGAAAAUGUAAGGACCACAACAGAUAGCGAAGAACACGACAAGACCAUAGAAUAUCCCGAGAUGGCAACCAGUAGCGAUGAAGAUGCAUCGGAUAGUGAAGAAGAGGCAGGGAUGUCAUCUGAUAGCGAAGAUGACUCCUCUUACAAUCCCCCUAAAAUUGCAAAUACUGCGUUUAUAUUGGAAGAUAGCAGUCACCGUGAUGGUUCUAUAUACAAGGGCAAUAGCGAGUGGAAAAGGACUUAUCGUAUUGCAGAUCUUGAGGAGAGUAAGUGAUCCAGAUAUCCUUACUGUUUUUCUUUAAAAAAAAUCUAUUUUGGUCUUACAAAUUUUAUCAAGCUAUAAAUCAAUCAUUAUAUUUGCUACUGUAAAUACCUACAGGUUUGGGCUCAAGUUGCAGUAUUCUGAAACCCCUAACUAAAAUUGCAACAAACUGAUAAUUUUGACAAAAAUAUGUGUAGUUCUUUUUAUAGAAUUACUCAAAAAAUAUAAAGCGGUUUGACCCAGGAUUUUCUGCAACCCAAUUGAUGUGCAAAAGUAUAGUUUUCUUUCUUUGUACCAAGUAUUUGCUGACCGUAUUAAUUGUUGCAUUGAUUGUAAUAUGACAUGUGAUCAUUGGGGAAGCUCGAUUGGAGGCGAUGAUAUUAUCAGGUCCUAAAUAUUGCGUUAUGCAUGGUGAAACAUGUAUAAGGCAUGGACCAUGUCCUAUGUUGCACUUUUUCUCACUAAAACUGGCUGAAAUUGCUGUCACCGGUGGCCCAGUAGAGCUGUAUGGAUACUUAGCAGCACGGGACCUUUUGGAUCCAUUGCGCAACUAUAUAUUCCAUACUAGCAGGGAUGAUCCCAUCAUAGUGGAGAAGGUGCACAUCCCUACUCUGCAUUUUUUUUAAAUUACUUUGUUUUAUUUCAUAAUAUGAAGUCAUCAUCACAUGCAUACAACAAGAGGAGAUAAUUUUGAUGGUAUUCUAAAAGCAAGUUAAUCUGUUCUACAUCAUCCAAUCAACGGAAAUGUUGUAAUAACUGUGCUCAUGAUGUUUAGACAUAGGCUCAAUUUGCACUCACAAUUUUCUUGAUUUUAAGACAUAUGGUUAGUUUAUGUUGCUGUGACAUUUAUAAAGUGUUUUACUUCAUAGCACAACUUAUUGUGGUUUUGGGAGCACGGCCAUGAAAAGCUAUCUCCAGUUAUCCCCUAUUUCAUAACUCUAUAUUUUUCUAAUUAGUUAAAUGUCCGUGGCCUCAUUCGGCUAGAAACAAAUGCUUAGAUAUUUACUUUUUGUGAAUAUUUCUAUUAUAGUAAUAUUUCGGUGUUAUGGCUGCAAAAACAUGCUUCAAAGUGGUCAACGUACCCAAAAGUAGCAGAAUAGAAACAGUUGAUUGUGUAAGCCAUUACAAUGCUAACCAAGAUUUUGGUUGUGGUAAUUAUACUAUCAAAUAAACCUAUAUAAUUAAAUUAAGCAUGACGUUUUAUGUGUUACAAAGAAAAUCAAACAGAAUAGUUUGGACCUUUAGUAGCUAUCAGAUAAUACAUUUUUUUCAUUAAUUUGUAGGAAUAGAAGAUACACAACACAAACUAUCAUUUUUUUCACUCAUAAUAAGUCCACAAACAUCCAUAAUUUAAUAUUUGACAACUCUAGAUAAAAUUGAAUUAUUCUAUCUGGUAGUUUUGCUAUCUCUGUCAAUCUUAUACACUUGGCAGCCAUUCAAUGUUUGAUGUGUUUAAUAUACUAGGUUCUUUAUUAUUUGUGUAAUGUUCGUUUCACUUUUCACUCAGCUUUAUAUAAUAUAUAUAUAUAUAUAUAUAUAGUAAAAAUAACAUAACGACCCAUUUCGUUGUCCUAUUUUCUUUGAUGAGCUAAUAAAUAAUAAUAUUUCUGUAGGGUUCCCUCAUCGAAAUAUCUGGUCCUAAACGAGGGAUCGAAAUAUUUUUUUUAACGACUCGCACGAGACGGUGCGAACUUCUAUUGAUAGAGCAGGAAAAAAUUACAAGAUUACAACCCUGGAGGGUUAUAACCAGGAAAAAGGAAAAAAAAUACCACCACCCACACGGCGACAUCGCCAACACACUAGCCCAGGAGAAGGCUAACACCGGACCGGCCGCCGCUAAGCGUGACCGACCGCCACUAGACCAACAAAGGGACACAGACGAGAUCGCCUGAGGGGUGAGACAGCACAACAACGCCCUCAGGAGGGGGGAUAACCAUCGUUGUCGGUCCGACCAAGGUCGAACUGGGUUUUCACCCGCCACUCACCACCUGCGAAUCCACGGCUGACGCACCGAUGCUCCACCACCACACAAGCUUUGCCGACAUGUGGGACCCCUACACCGGCGUCCCCCGCCGGCCAGCCUUCGCGCGCCGAAGACCGCGCCACACCCACCAGCAGCUCCUCCUCACACCUAGGUCGCCUCCUCCACUGCCGGCCGCGCCACUCUGCGCCAAGCCGGCCUCCUCUACCGGACGCGUCUCUCGCGCCAAUCCGGCCUCCCUCCAUCGGCCGCGCCUCCCGCGCCAAGCCGGCCUCCAUCUCUGCCGCCCGCGUCUCUCGCGCCGAGCCGGCCUCCGUUGCCAUCGGCUGCGCUUCUCUGCGCCAAGCCGGUCUCCGACCCCUCCACCAAACGAUGUCGCGCCGGCCAGAUGUAGUCGUCUCCCACGCCCUCGGCUAGCCGUCCGAGGCCGCCAUGCCUCUGGUGACCGCAGACACAGUCACCACCACCGCAGCCGCUGUUGCCGAACGCCCAGCCACCUCGCCGUCGCCAUCCUCACCUCGCACCCGACUCCUUCCCCGCCUCCACUUGCUGUAGCCAACAACCCGCAUCCGUCGACGUUACCACCGCCUUCACGGCCGCCGUCGCCGCUGCCACCGACGCCAGCCUCCGCCUCCGCAAACCACUGCGCCGUCCACAUCCGCCGAUGUUGCCGCCGCUGCCGCUACUAGUCGUCGACGCCAGCCACUGCCAUCGCACACCGCCGCCACCGCCAACGCAGCCGCUGCCAGCAACCGCCCCAACGCAGCCGCCAUGCCCUCCGUCGCCGUCGCCAGCCAACGCCGCCACCGCGACAGCCUCGUCGCCGUCACCAGCCGCCGUGACCGCCAGCAGCCACCGGACGCCAAGCACUAGGAGCUCCCGCUCCAGAUCCGCCCACGGGGGGGCUGGAUCCGCCUCCGGCGUGCCUGGAUCCGCCCACGAGGGGGCCCGACCUACCUCCGGCGCGCCUGGAUCCAGUCCGCCGUCGCCAGCCUCGCCGCCAUCUCCAUCCCCGCCGCCAUCUUCAUCCCCGUCGCCGACGGCCCAUCUCCGACGCCGUCGUCACCCCCGCCGCCGUCACCUUCCCCGCCGCCAGCCGCCACCCCGCCAGAUCCGGCCGGAGCGGCGUGGAUCUGGCGGGCUCCACCGCCGCCGCCUUCAGUCGCUCGAGAACCGCCGGUGCCCCAGCGUGCUCCUUGAGAGAGGAAAAGGAGGCCCCGCCGCCACCGUCCUUGCCGCCGCGCGGCUUUGCCGGCGGCUGCUCUGGCGGCGGCGAGGCGGGAGGGAGGAGGAGGAAGCUGGCUCGCGGCACGUGGUGUCGCCGCCCGUGUCGCCUGGGGCGAGCGACGCGGGCGGAGUUGUCUCAACUUAUGGACCAAGGAAUUAAUUGUAGGGAUCGAAAUAUUAAGUGAUGUCCUAAUCGAGUUUGAUAUGAGGAUAAAGACAGGAGCAGAACAAGAAGAUGAUCGACAGCUGAUUGAUGGUGUAUUAGUCAUUGGUUGUGAGACACCAACAGAUGUAACAUUGAGAAGACGCAUCCAUGGCGAUUGCGGUGCGGUCGAGAUAAAAUUUUCACAUCUGCAUCAUGCAGUGGAGGCGACGGUACAGGUUGCCGUAUUGGAAGUGCAGAGUCAUUUCAAUCUGUCUAUCUGUUCUUAUGUGGGUUCGUUACCUGACGAAAUGCAGCUAUUUUGUGGCCACAUAGCCGAGCCAUGUGGCCUAAAGAAGUUUGUUCUUGCUGCAAUGAUGCGUAAUUUGCUGCGAUUGAAGUUGAAGGUAAGCCAAGGAGGGUCUUACGCUGAACAUUUUUGCUCGUUCGAACCAAAUCACCAUGGGCAUUCAUGUCAGCAGAUAAAUACUGAGUUUGCAUCCUUCCUGGUGAAGAUUACUUGGUCGACUUUGGACUUUGGAAAUCCACAGAAUUAUCUGUAAUUCACAACCGAGGCUACGGUAAUAAGUUAGUGUAUUCAAUUAUUUUUCUCAUUGAGUUAAUUAAGAUGAGGCCUUUCUGAGUAUGACUCAAAUUUAAAAAGGAUCCUAAUGUCACUAAUUCUUUCUAAUUCUUCCUAAACAUGAGGCAUUUUUUUAGCCUGCGAGAAGGUCAAUAUAAUAAUAUGUUUCGCAUGUCACGAGUCCCUUCUUGUUUUUUAUAUAGUUGGAACCCACUGCAAGCAUGACAUCACUCGCCUGUUAGCUCGUGACAUCACUGAGCCAACCGUGAAAUAAAGAUGGUAACAUGAAGAAUUUUUAAAAAAGGAAUGUGAACGAGGCCUAAGAUGUAAGAUAGCCCACCUCCUUACGGGCUCCCAGCCUCCUGCAGUCCUGCUUCUCUCCUGGCCCAGUCCUGCUUCUCUCCUGGCCCUCCUCUAUGAAGUAAGAAGUAAUAAGUUCACUUUACAUUUCUCAACUAUGAGUCAAAUUCUAUUUGCAUCCCUUACCCAUGAAAUCGGGUAUAAAACGUCAUCUAAUUAUCAAAACCAGUGCAAAUAGAGUCCCUUAGCGGUUUAGAUGGCAAUUUUAUCCUACAGUUACCCACGUGGCAUGUUGGCAUGAUCUUUAUUCCUAUGUGGCGCUUGCGCUUAUUUGGGAUUAGAAAAAAAAUAGAAAAAUAAAAAAAAACUCAAUGGACCCAUAUGUCAUUAGGAAAACAAAGACUCAAAUGUGGCCCCACCUCUCCCUCUCCUCUGUUCCUCUCUCUCUCUCACUUAGCGCUGGGGUGCGGUUCAGCGGAGGACGGCAUGGCGCCGACACAGCUCGUCGCACAACCUCGCGCGCAGAAGCCGAUGGCCCGAACGGCGAUUGGGAGGCCGCCGGUGGCCGCUGCUGCCUCCUUCCCGUGGAUGAGCUGGCAUGGCAAGGUCGGGAUGGUGGAUCGAUAGUGGAGUUGAUAGAGGAAGGGCGAGGCAGGGCGAUGGGGGAAGCAACAACACUGUUAGAGUAUAUUUGGUAGUUGUAGGAAUAUUAGGAUAGGAUUGAUUUGAUUAGAGUAUUUCCUUAUCUCUGUAUCAUCCUUAUCUCUACCCGUGUAAUCUCUAUAUAUUUCAGUCCCCAAGACUCAGUACAAUCAUCUAACUCCUCUCUACACUAUUCAAUAUGGUAUCAGAGCGGGCUACGUUCUAGCACCAAAAUUCAUAGUCCUAGGAUCUACAUGGUAUCAUAUCUAGACAAAUGGUUGUCCAGAUUUAUUUUACUGGGCAUAGGUUGUCUUUUUUCUGGGACGAAGGGAGUAUGUGGCUAGUGUGGUUUGAAUCUUGCAAAAAGUUAUUCAUGCACAAGACGCAUGGACAGUGAAAGGACUAAUGUUUCUGUGCCUUGAAGAGAGAUAUGCAUGCCCCCCAUAAAUUUAACUUGUUCACGUACAGGAUCCUAGCAUGUCCCUAAUUAUAUGGGUUUAACUUAUUAACGUACGAACUCUCAAUAUAUAAUAGUGAACGAGUGAUAGGAAGUUAGGAACACAUAUAUCAUUUGCAUUACUUUUGACAUGAUCCGAAAUCUAAGGCCAACAAAUUAUGGCACGCAUAAUUUUCUAAAUCACUAUUGUCGGAGAAAACUGCAACUUUACAAGUUAAACUGUCUUCCAAUACUCUUCAUCAUGCAUGAUCUCAUCAUGCACUGGAAAAUACUCAAUUUUUCACCAAAUAUUCAGUGCUGACUGGAGUACUGGACACGCAUAUAUAGACCUCUGAAUUGUAUCCUGGACCUUGAAUGACCAUCAGACUUUACUAGUACUCGAUAGGAACAUCAGAACUAAUAUUUCAGCAGUAAUCAACUGACUCUGUCCAGGCUGGUAACAUCAGAACUAAUAAUUCAGCAGUAAGCAAUUGACUCUAUCCAAGCUGAUAGUACAUCAUACUCCUAUCUAACUAAACAGCAGACAGAAUCUAGGUACAACACUUGUAUGGAGUGGAGAUCUAAUCUUUUUAUAAAAAAAAUGAGGAGAAUUUUUUUUAAAAAAAAAAUGUGCUUCUAGCUUCCAACAUGCUGAGUUGCUGACUCUGUGACGCCAAUAUUUUUUUUGAGAACAAUGUGACGCCAAUUCAGAGAGGCCAUGUUCAGUCCUUGUCACAAAACAUAUGGUCAACUCAGGCAAAACGCGGCAGAGACCUUUUGUCACAGUAAUUCGCACAUAAAAAAUGAAAGUAUACAAGAUAAAUGCAGAGUUGACAGAGUCACAGGCCACACUCCUACACCACAAAGGCUUCCAGACCAAGAAACCUUCCUCUCAAUUUACUGAAAAAAAUCAGGGGCAAUUUGUGCUUCUGAUACUCACGUAUAUUUCAUACACACGUGAAUGCUUUUAAUAGAAUUCAGAGAAUUAGAGAAUAGAAAGUUGUCGUUGACUCCAUCUCUUUAACAUAUUUUAGGAGCAUGCUUAUAGAUUCACACAAGUAUGAACACAUAUAGUGAUUUGUAUAUGCGUUCUCCACAUGAUUCAGAAAAAAAAAAGAACAAUGACAACUUGAUUUCAUUGAAUUUAUUGUGGCGCAUUUACAGAUAUAUAGUGAUGGAAGCAGUUUGGUGCAAGACAAAAGUAGGCAGGCGAAGUUACAUCAUGUACACUUUUGACUUGGUCAAACGCAAAUUAUAUACUGACAGUGACAGGACCUAAUUACAGCAGUAUAGUAUUAAUUAAUUGUUAAAAGAGAGUUUCUAAUCAAUUCUACUUGCAAUUCUCCAAGAAGAUAGCCUUUGCCAUCAUCUAUUGCUCUGAUUUAGAAUUAUAUGUGAAAAGAGUCUCUCUCUAUUAGGGGAGCGAGAGGAGAUGUCUACUCAUAUAUUUUUCUUCCAAAUUCGAUUCAAAUAGUUGUAAAAAAUUAUAGAAAAAAAUUGAUAAUAUUGAGUAUUGUUAUACCUAUCUGUGCAAAAAAAAAAUCAAGUUCAAUGCUGUAUCAGCGUUGUCAAUUUUUUUUAGAAUUUUUCAUAAUCGUUUCAAUGCUUUUUAAAUAAACAAGGAAAUAUCAUCUCUUGAGGAUAACACACAAUUAGAUUAGACAUGCUUGGACUGAUGACUUAGUCAAAAGAGAAGUCCGAUCACUUAUUAAUUUCUUGUGCAUGUGCAUCCAACAACCUUCGUCAGCUAGCCAAGAACAAUAAGCAACUUCAUAGUGUCCUAGCAACGGCGUCACCGGCCAUGGCUUCCGGCCAUCUCGUCGCCGUCGCCGUCGUCAUCGGCUCGCUCUGCGUCGCGGCAGUCGGUCAGGGGAACAAUAUCGUGCUCCCGUUCGCGCCGUCGUGCUCGACCGCCGGCAACUACACCGGCGACAGCCAGUACAAGAAGAACCUCGACCAGCUAUUCACCACCCUCUCCGCCGGCGCCAUCGCCGGCGACUGGUUCAACACCAGCUCGGUCGGGACGGGCGCCGACCAGGUGUUCGGCCUCAUCAUGUGCUACGCCGACCGCAACUCGACGCAGUGCCAGGAAUGCCUCGCCGGCGCUCCGGCCGGGAUCGUGCAGGUGUGCCCGGGAAGCCGAACGGCGGACGCCAACUACGACGCCUGCCUCCUCCGCUACUCCGACAAGUCCUUCUUCUCCGAGCUCACCUACGGCGCCGACCCCACCAUCGCCUGGAACGUCUACUUCACCCCCUUCGUCGACAACAUGACCACCAUGAACGACACGCGGCGGCGGCUGAUGAGCCAGCUCGCCGAGAGGGCCGGCGACACCAAGCUCAGGCUGGACAACGGCAGCUUGCCGUACGCCGACUCGAAGCUCGGCACGUCGGCGUUGUACGGGCUGGCGCAGUGCACGAGGGACCUGGCGGCGAGCGAGUGCCGGAGGUGCCUCAGCGGCUACGUCGACGACCUCAGCAACACCUUCCCCAACAACAGCGGCGGCGCCAUUAAGGGGUACAGCUGCUACCUCAGGUACCAUCUUUGGCCGAUCGACAUCACGCUGCCGCCGCCGCCGUUGCCACCGCCGUCGCGGCCUCCGUCGUCGUCUCCGGCACCGCCUUCACCUCCUCCCUCGGUGUCGGGAGGACUCGUGGCCGGAUCGACCGUCGGCGCCGUCUCGUUCUUGGUGGUUCUUGGUGUCUCAAUCUGGCUCCUCUUGCGCCGGCGGCGGAAGCGCGCCGGCGAGGCGAGGGAGCUGGAGAUGGACGAGGGCGACUUCUUCGACGAUGAGGCCGAUGACUUUGAGAAGGGGACUGGUCCCAAACGGUUCCACUACGGCGAGCUCGCCAUCGCCACCGACGACUUCUCCGACGAGCACAAGCUCGGUGAAGGCGGGUUCGGGUCAGUGUACAGAGGAUUCUUGAAAGAGUUGAACCUUGACGUCGCCAUUAAGAGAGUGUCCAAGAGCUCGAAGCAGGGGAGGAAGGAGUACGCGUCGGAGGUGCGGAUCAUCAGCCGCCUCCGCCACCGCAACCUGGUGCAGCUCAUCGGCUGGUGCCACGGCGGCGGCGAGCUCCUCCUCGUCUACGAGCUCAUGCCCAACGCCAGCCUCGACACCCACCUCUACAGCGCCAACGCCGGCGUGCUCCCAUGGCCACUCAGGCACGAGAUCGUGCUCGGCAUCGGCUCGGCGCUGCUGUACCUGCACGAGGAGUGGGAGCAGUGUGUGGUGCACCGCGACAUCAAGCCGAGCAACAUCAUGCUCGACGCCGCCUUCAACGCCAAGCUCGGCGACUUCGGCCUCGCCAGGCUCGUCGACCAUGGCCGGGGCUCACACACCACGGUGCUCGCCGGCACCAUGGGGUACAUGGACCCGGAGUGCAUGAUCACCGGCAGGGCGAACGCCGAGUCCGACGUGUACAGCUUCGGGGUCGUCCUACUUGAGAUCGCCUGCGGCCGGCGACCGAUAAUGGCGGACCACCAAUCCGAGGUAGACGAAGACCGGAUCCACAUUGCUCAGUGGGUCUGGGAUUUAUACGGCAAUGGGAGGAUUCUUGACGCCACUGACCGGCGGCUCAACGGCGAGUUCGACGGCGGGGAGAUGGAGGCUGUCAUGGUCGUCGGGCUCUGGUGCGCGCACCCUGACCGGAGCCUGCGGCCAACGAUCAGGCAGGCCGUCGGCGUGCUGAGGGGCGAGGCGCCGCCGCCGAGCCUCCCGGCGAGGAUGCCGGUGGCGACGUUCCUGCCGCCGGUUGAUGCUUUCAACCACACAUCAUCUUCAGUUGCGACAGGAAGCAGCAGCGCCAGCACAGACACUACUCGGUCGUCCAGGACGACCGAGACAUCUUCCUUGCUGAAAUGACACUUGAGCAAUGACGUUUUUUAUCAGAUUAAUUAACUGCAAAAAUGAAUUGAUUUUGACAGGAGCAUCAUACCUGUUUUUGACUAGAGUAUGCAGCUGAUUUUGGACUGGUAAUAUGAUGAACAUUAGUUACAUAACACAAGAACACAAUGGCACAAACAUAAAAGGGAUACAGCUAUUGACACUUUCAGCAUAAUAAUUAGUGUUCUCAUUUAUUAUUGCCCCAAGCCAUCAUAUAAAAGGGACUUCAGAAAGGUAGAUCAACAGCUCAUAAUAAUUCACAGUGUAUGUCUAUUUUCAAAACCAUUUACAACGAAAAGGCCGGUCUAAUGGCGUCCCUUCCCCCCAACCUACGCCCAGCCGACCUCUCCAAUCUCCUUUGCUUUCUUCCUUCCAUUGGACCAUUCACGGUACAGGGGAAGUAUAAUCAAGAGUUCUCCAAUAGAUUGUAACUGGUACUAAUUAAGCAGCAGUGGCAACUGGAGUGUCAGGAUGGGCUCCCCAUUCAGUCCAUGAUCCAUCAUAUACAGGAACGUCGGUUUUGCCAAGGCGGUGGAGGCCCUAAGAAGAAAGCAUAGGUUAUGCGACGUAAUGUAACAAUUGCAAAGUAAAUCUUGUGAACUUCCAAGUCACAGGUAGUCUUACCAGAGCUAAUAUACAUGCUGUCACACCAGUACCACAUGAGGACACCAGGGGUUGAUCAAGCGAUAUACCUGACGAAUAUCACAACAAAGUAGUAAAGUUAUUGCCAAUAUUACCAAAGAUGUUGCCAUAAUUUUAUAUUUCAUAAUUCAUACUUGCUACCACAGAUCUACAUCAAAAUACCACAGAAAAAUGAUGCUAGUAACAACCACUACCAAUAAACAAAGCACUGCAAGAAGUCAUGCCUGGUCAUUACAAUCAUAUAAGCGACAACACCUGGCACUAGUUGGUUAAUUAACUCAACCAUCAACUUAUACAAAAAUAUAAAUAAGAGGCUCUUAAUGUUUCAAAAGACCCAGAAGGCCAAAACAUUAGGUUCAUGGUUAAGAUAUAGGCAUGUUUCAGAAUGGGGAAUAGGAUUGCAAACAUGGCUAAGCAGGGCAUUGUCAGCAGACAGAAAGAAUUUGAAACUUUAUCUGGAUAAAAAUAUUACCUUCUUGUUCAAAUCGUUUACGGAGCUCUUCUGGAGGUAAUAGCUUUUGCGAACUGUCAAGCAACUGCAGAAGAACAAACAAAGAUUCAGCAAAAAGAAUUGGUAAUACACAAAGAUUAAAAAUACAAAAAUAUGGUCACAAAUGAACCCGAAUAAAUAAUUAAUCCAAUGAGACCAAAGACAACCAAAGAUCAGGUAAAAGUAAUUAUCCAAAAUUUAUGUCCAAAAGAGUACAAGUUGAUUGGAUAAUUGCAAGUCUCCACCUGAGGGAAAGGAACACAUUUGCUCCCAGGCACAUGCCCACUUCUUAUUCCUUUCCGUGGCUCUGGAACUGCACCAUCAAAUCUGAAGUGAAAGCUUCAUGUUAGUAUUCAAGACCAAUGACCAACAUUACAAAGACACAACCCAAUGAAGCUUGAAGCAUUCACAUUUUUAUGAGGUAAUAUGGCAAAUCUACCGCAAUUACUGACACAAAAAAAAACAAGUCAGAAGAGUCGAAAAGAUAAAACACCAUAAGAGUCUGGAAUGCCUACUAUGUUGGUGAGGUGUUACAUGGAAUCAUGGUUGAACUGGAAAAAGAUUACUUAAAAAGGCAAAAGCCAAACAGCCGACUUUAUUGGCAAUGAAGAUCUUGACAGAUACUAGUGAGUCUAUGGAUAUAUUAUCCAAAUCAAUGUACUAGGCCUAGGGAGGAACAUGGUCUGUAGCCAGUGACGACAGGGUCUGCUGCCGUGUAGAAUUUAGUUCAUUACUUGAAUAUCGAAUGAUUCCUGCAAAAUUUUGCCAUUGUCUCCAAAAUUGGAAGUGCCUUUUAUAAAAUCCACCAUAACCCAAUGGAUCCUUAAGCAUAAAGGUAAAGGCUUUAUAUACAUGUAAUCGUGUAUGGUAUAUAAUCUGGACUUUUCCAGAAUUAAAAUAGCAGAUUUACCUAGGCUUUCCUCGAGCAUCUAUAAGUUGAUGUGUCUUGGCAUCAAUGUUCUCUUUUACCUGAGAAAAAAAAUCAUGAACUAGUUAUACCAAACAUGCGACUGAGUUUAAUAAAUGGUGAAGAAAUGUAUGGGCAAGAUUUUCAGCCUGAAGACCUCUAACCUGGUCAAGAUUCCAAAUAAGAUGAGGCUGCAACUUUGCUUCAAAUGUGGAGGGACCAACCUACAAAGAUAAUAAAAAGUUAUGUGUGACUGAAGGUCAAGCUAAGCACCAUUCACAGCAGCUACUAGCAUGAGUAUCACGAUUCAGGGGUUGACAAGUACAUAACAGGAGUAAGGUCCAAAUGUUAGAACAAACAAAAUAGAGGUUUAAUUCAACUUACCAACUGCCCCUGAUAAACUUUCUCAAUUGCUUCACGAGCAGCACUGGCUUUUAAGAUGGCAUCACUAGAGGCACUUGAUUCAACAUCAUACCCAGAAGCACGCCAUUGGGGCAAACCACCAUCCAACACCCAAACUUUAUCAUGUCCGAAAACACGAAACAUCCUGAUAUCAAGGAAGCAGGCAUCGCACAUGAAAUUUAAUUCAAUUAUCAAAAUUAACAACAAAGGAACAUAUUGCAAAUGCACUAGUAAGAACGGCUUAUGAUCAUUUAAGGGGAAAAAAGAUUGUCUGUCGUUUCUGCCUGAAUUCUACUCUUGAUGUUUACUUUGGUUUCAAGAAGAAGCAGCUUACCACCAAACACGAGCAGCGCUAAAUAGUCCCUUUCCAUCAUAAACUACUAUCCCAUCUUUGUUGUAUAUUCCAAGCGAAGAUACAGCAGCAGAAAAUGCCUUUUCAGAUGGCAGCAUGUGCGGCAACUGACUCAAAAGAUAAUACAUUCAAUGAUAUCAAGCAUGCCGAAAAACAAUUAAUCAGCUCAACAAUAACCAACACAAAGAAAUCAAGAAUGAUGCCAUGUUUUGCAAUUCAUAUUCCUAUCAUAAUAAGGGCAUUAUGUUGAAUUGUUGAUCUACUUAACCAAACAGGAUUAAAAAAACAUGUUAAUUUAUUAGUGUUACUUUUUUAUCAUGAAGAUUGACAGUAGUAGAUGAAAAAUACAGUCAAGGAGAAAGGGAAAGAAAAUUUAAGUGCCAUUACACCAGCUAGUACAAUAUAAAAGCUUGACGUGAUCUGAAAGAAAUCAAACUUGAGUAACUUAUUAUCACUUUUUUUACACCAAUCAGGGGAUUGGGACAGACCACCAGAUCACAACACACACAAAUGUUAUCAACCGUGUUGUGAUCUGUCAGUCCCUGUUUUACUUCACCAGCUUCAACCUUUUACCUUCUGGUGUUGCCUAAAGCUAUUUUUGUUGACCUGUAUGAGUGGAACUUAAAUGUAUUGACAUACUGAACUAAAUGCUUUCGCUUCAUGUAUUUAAGGAAUUGGGUUUACCAGCCCCUAAAUUUGCAUAGCACAAGCCCAUAUUCUGGCAAUUUAUAAUGUUAUAUUAAUAAAAAAUAACAUCAGAAAAGCAGGAUGAUGUGGCACAUAAAGAAAGUUCAUAUGAUUAGCUAGUAGUAAAUGAAAAAACAAGCUAGUGAGUUGAACUUACGCUUGAUGUUCUGUCUGAUAUUCCAUCAACAUCAAAGAAUAGCGCCCCAGGAAUAUGAGCCACCUGGAAACAAGAUUAAAAUGCAUAUGAAAGCAUCAGAACUUCUGCUACUAUAAUUUCAAAUGAACUGAUAAAAACAGAAAAUUAAGGUAACAAGGAACCAGUGAAAAUAAGAGCAUAUAAACAAUCAGAUAAGAAAAAUGGCGUCACAGCAGGUGGUAAGAAUUCCAAAACUGCAAAACCUCAGUAUGGCAUGUAAUCGCUACCUGGUACUCCUGAAGAGGAUUCCUUUGUUCGGCAGGCAUAUACCAAGAGGCAUCAAGUACCUUGACAGAAACAAGAGGAUGAUUCAAUGAGAUAUAGUGGAUUCAAGGAAGACAAACAUUUUUAACAGGGAAAAGAAAACUAUCCAGUGACUACUGUUAUAGUGUUAUUAUUAUACUAGACUCAUUUAUCCUACUGAGAGUAUAUCAUAAUGCAUAUGAAAAAGAACUUUAAUACAAAUGCAGCUUCUGUUGUAAAAGCGAAAGUAGCCAAUGGAAAGCCAGUGCCAUCCUGAAUGUGCUGUAGUCUGUAGUACAAAGACCUCAUGCUUUUCCUCAACCAUCAAUCCGCACAGCUAACGCGACAAACUCAGCAAUAAUAAGUCACUAGCCAUCCUCCUACGAUUUAUAUCUCUCUUCCAUCAUCAAUCAAACUGCCAGCAUGGUAGAACGCCAGCAACUAGCAAUUCACUAUCAGUUUAUUAGCUGUAGCACGGUAUAUGCAACAAUUCACAAAAAUUAUCUUCCAGUUUAUUAGUUGUAGCACAGUAUAUGCAACAAUUUCACAGGUCAACCGCAGAUCGCUACAGUCCCAUCACUGCGCACACUACCUUCACAUCGGGGUCCUUGAGGUUGGCGUGCAGCCACUCGGCCGAAACCACGGGCUCCGUCCUCGGCAGCGCGUUGGUAGCCUCCGAAACGGCCGACGACGAGGUGGCGUUGCAGCGCGCCGCGAUCCCGAACGAACCGACGCCCCCCAGCGCCGCCGGCACCGACGCCCUGCACCCGAACCCGGCGCCCUCCUCGGCGGCGCGCGCCCAUCCGACUCUUCCCCCCUGCACCCGCACAAAACACACAAACCACCGUCAGGCCGGAGAGAUCAGGGAGAAGGCGGAGCGGCGUCGGAGUACGACCGCGAGGAGCGAGGCGAUGGUGGUGGCGAGGAGGAUGAGGAGGGGAGGAGGAAGGAGGGUUUCCUUGGGGAGGGAGGAGGACAGUAUGUGGUGCGAGCGGGCGCCGCGGAGGGAGACGGCGGCGGCGGCAGCGGCCCGGGAGAGGAGGGUGGCCGCCAUGGAUAGGGUUUUGGGGGGUUCUAGAAGGUUCGCGAAGGGGUUGGUGGCGGAAGCGAGAGGAAGAAGGGGAAGAGGUGGAUGGGUUGGUACUACUUCGUUGCUCGACGAGUGUUUAUUAAUCCGCGGGGAAAGGAAACCAACUGGUUUCGCGGGAAUCCGCGGCGCCUACGGUUGGGCAGAAGAGCCAGUGUAGCUUCGCAGGCCUCUCCUGAAACGCACAAAGUUUAUCUAGAAAAUCAGCAGUGAGUAUUCCUGUAAAGGCUUUUUUUUUUUCGAGAUGUAAAGGUAGAAAAGUGUAAAAACUAAAUUUUUUAUCGUAUCAAAUCUCGUUGAGAUUCAUAGCAAAUUAUUUUUUAAUGAUACUAGCAAAAUAAACUAAAAAUAUUUGUUUUUAACCGAAGUUAUUUUCACACUACUUUUGCUCGCUAGAAAAAGUCUUAAAUGAUAGAGAGAAAUGUAGUAGCUCAUAAUAAAUUAUUAUUCAAGAAUAAUUUCAAAAAAAGGAGAUAAAAAAGACAAAGCCGGUUUGAUUUCCAACUUUACACGGUGCGAGUCAAUAUGGACUCUGAAGAUAUAGGCAGAUCUACGAGGUGGCUUAGCAACACGAUCGACCUGUGAAUCAGCAAGCAACCUCAGACCAAUCGAUGGUCGAUUGACGACCGCAGCUGCGUCUGGCCGUCCGUUUCCCUUCCGCGACAGUGGUGACCAUGACUAUGUGAUGUUAUUAUUUUAGUAUUUCUUACUUUUAAUUCUGGAUUUUUGUUAUUUCUAAUUAUAUUUUUAUGUGAACUCUAAACUUAUUUUUCAAUAUUCUUUAUUUUUUAAUUCAGAAUUUUAGUUAUGUAUAAGUUAUAAUUCUAUAUGGAUUCUAGACUCUUUUUUCAAUAUAUUUUUUAAAAUUUUAAAAUUUAUUUAUUUAUAAAUUGUAUUUCUAUAUGGACUCUAAUCUCUACCUUUAAUUUUUCUUAUUUUUUAAUUCUGGAUUUUAAUUAGCUCUAAAUUGUAUACCUCUAGUUUCAUGCUUGUUAAUGAACCAUCAAUUUAUAGCAUGUGGAUUUUGAGCGACAACUAUACUAUAUGUUGGUUUUUAAGAAACCGGUACCUAUAAUAUAGUGUCGGUUCUUAUAAAAAAACAACAAAAAAAACCGUGCUGAGCCAAGCCGAGGCAACAUCCUUAUCCAGUCCCCCUCCCACUCUCUCUCGCUCUCCUCUAGUCCUCUCACUCUCUCACUCUCACUCUCUCUUUCUUGGUCCUCGAUCCGCGGCGGCGGCGGCUCCAUCCGCCGCCUCUCUUUUCCCUCCCGCGGCGGUGGUGGCGUCAACGGCAGGCGGAUCUGGCGGCAGGUGUUCUUGGAUGUGAUGUGAUGUAUGUUGUUGUUCUUGGAUGAUUAUUUUAUGAUUUUGUGAUGAUUGUGGUUGAUUUUUGGGGGUAAAGAGUGGUUGAAUUUUAUUUUUUUUAUCCGAUUCUAAGAGCGAUUGGGAUUCGGGGGAGCUGCAAAGGUGGCCUUCGUCCAUCUUGUGACGAAUGGAAAAUUACCAAUCUUUUAAUUAGUUAAGAUGUAUAAUGUAAUUGUUGAAUAUACUUGUGAAUUGGUACAUGAAGAAAAUGCGUGAAUUUGAAUUGACGGCACAUCCGAAUCACGUCAUACAAAAAAAUAUAUAUCUUUUUAAUGUAAUUGUGGAAAUAUUCUUAUGCAUUGCUAAAAGUGUGGACUUGAACUGACGACACAUCUAAAUCAUGGCACAUAAAAAUUAUACCUAUUGUAAUUAUGAAAACUGACGACAUAUCUAAUAAUGAAUAUCAAUGUUAUUAUUUUUUUAGGGAGUAUUGUUUUCUAUUUAUAAAUCACAUUUGAGAUCAAAUAUGAAGAAAAAAAAAGAGGAAGAAGCAGAGUAGACGGGGAGAAAAAAACAAAGACAAAAGCAAGGGAAGCGCAGUGGAUAGAGAGGGGCAAUAAGAAAACAGCAGCAGCAGUGUCUCGUUUAUUCCACUCACUCUCUCUCGAUCUCUCCCCCCACACGAUAUGUCCUUCCUAUCCUUUCCCACUACUUUACUUCCCACUACUUUACUUUCUCUCUCCUCUCUCCCUCGUAUGCAUUGUUAAUGUUUGUAGUGUCAUAAUUACAAAUCCCCCGGCUCUGGCGAGGCGUUGGAUUUAGGCGGUCCUCUCUCUCGUUUUGCUCUCCUCUCUCUCUCUCGGUCUUCUCUCUCGCUCUCCUCUCUCUCGGAGCUGAGGCGACAGGCGGUGGCGCAAGAGGGGAGGCUGCGGCGGGUAGAGACGGUGCGGCCCAGCGGCGGGAGGCGGCAUCGAUCGGCGGUGAUGGCCACGCCCUCCCAUCUGCGGCAGCGGCAUGCAGCGAGAGGAGCGGCGGCCGCUCGGAGGCGCCCUUCCUCGGGCAGAUCCGACGGGAGGAAGGGUAGUGGCGGCCCGACAUCGCCACCACGGCCUCGGGGCAGCAGUGUCCUCGGCCUGCCAUGAUUUUGUUGUUGGAUUUGUGAUUUGAUUUUCUGGGAUGAUUUUUUUGUUGGAUUUGUGAUUUCCUGAUUUAGUGGAUUUGUGAUUCAUUUUCUAUCGUUUCUUUGUAUUGUCGCUCAGAUGGAUCGGAUCGGGAGGGAGGUAAUACAUGGAUAUUAGGUUUGUUCUGGGGAUCAAAUUUAUGAGGUCGAGAUUAAAUUUGGUAUUUUCGUGUUGUGUUUUUGGUUGUCUGAUUGAUUGAUUGAUUUGGGGAUCUAGCUCGGGUUUUUUUUUUUUUUGAAGAUAGACUCGGACUCAAACGAACGAAGCAGGGACGGAUCGCACGGACGAGUGAAAAAUUGCGCAUACCGACGAAAGUUUGGGUGACAAAAGGAAAAUUACAAAUCUGUUAAUUAGUUAAGAUAAGAUAAGGCGUAAGAGUGCGAGACCAAAUUUAUUUGUAGGGUAGUGCGCUAGGCAAGAGUAUAUAUAGGACAUAUGCCGUAUAUCGGUUUUUAUAUUGUAAGUCAGUUGUAAGGGUAGAUUUACUUGCUCACGAGUUUAUGCAAAUUUUAACAUUUUAAAAGGAAAAAAAAUAUGUUUUCUAUUUAAAAGAUCCAAAAGUUUGCAACCGCAACAAAAGAUUGCACAAGUUAAAGAAUAGGACAAUCGCUACCGUAGCCUGUUGGAGUCACCUACCGUCUAGAAGGAUGCUUUUUUAUGAAGAGAAAAACAUGCCGCUCCUCCUCAAACCGAAUCGGAUCCAGAAUUGCAGAUUCAUGUGACAAGCAUCAAUCAUCAUGCCUGACGUCUGAUCUUCACAAUGGUAAAAAAAAUGUUGAACAAUUAUUUGGUCAGUGGGAGGACCGACUGGACAGUAACCUUGGGUAAUCUGACCAUCCGAAGGAUAGGCAGUAAAAGAAACUCCAUUAUGUUCAGACACUAUAAGCAAUAGAAAUGUUCCAUGAGAUGAUCGCGAUCUUCCGUGAAAUGCAAUUCUGAAAGUCUCAGAUUUUCAAUGUGUUCCGUUUCCAGCAGGCUGGUAGAUCAGAGAACCCUAUGACUGUCACUGAUUCACUGAUUUUCAAUGUGUUCUUAAACCGGUAGAAUGGAUAUGUAGCCUGAAAACAGGACAGUUAACAAAUCAAUCCAAUUUGGGAGCUUCGGAAGCGUGUACGUGAUAAUCCAUAGUCUACAAGAAAAGGAACAGGGCCUAAACAGGGGUAAAAAUCAAUCCAAUUUUGCAAUUGAUCUGAUACAUAAAAUGCAUGUCAAAUUAUCAAUACUCAAUAUGUCAUCUUAGCAAGGACGAUGUCUCAGUGUGAGGAGCGCCAGUGCUGCCGCUGCUGCUCCCUGUCACAGCCAAAGAUGACGUGUAGCCAAAAGCAUCAAUCGGUGGCAGGAACGUCGCCACCGGCAUCCUCGCCGGGAGGCUCGGCGGCGGCGCCUCACCCCUCAGCACGCUGAUGGCCUGCCUGAUCACCGGCCUCACGCUCCGGUCAGGGUGCGCGCACCAGAGCCCGACAACCAUGACACGCUCCAUCUCGCCACCGUCGAACUCGCCGGUGAGCCGCCGGUCAGCAGCGUCAAGAAUCCUCCCAUUGCCGUACAAAUCCCAGACCCAUUGAGCAAGGUGGAUCCGGUCUUCGUCUACCUCGGAUUGGUGGUCCGCCAUUAUCGGUCGCCGGCCACAGGCGAUCUCAAGGAGGAGGACGCCAAAGCUGUACGCGUCGGACUCGGCGUUGGCCCUGCCGGUGAUCAUGCACUCCGGGUCCAUGUACCCCAUCGUGCCGGCGAGCACCGUGGUGUGUGGUCCCCGGCCGUGGUCGACAAGCCUGGCGAGGCCGAAGUCGCCGAGCUUAGCGUUGAAGGCGGCGUCGAGCAUGAUGUUGCUUGGCUUGAUGUCGCGGUGCACCACGCACUGCUCCCACUCCUCGUGCAGGUACAGCAGAGCCGAGCCGAUCCCGAGCACGAUCUCGUGCCUGAGUGGCCAUGGGAGCACGCCGGCGCUGGCUUUGUAGAGGUGGGUGUCGAGGCUGGCGUUGGGCAUGAGCUCGUAGACGAGGAGCUCGCCACCGCCGUGGCACCAGCCGAUGAGCUGCACCAGGUUGCGGUGGCGGAGGCGGCUGAUGAUCCGCACCUCCGACGCGUACUCCUUCCUCCCCUGCUUCGAGCUCUUGGACACCCUUUUAAUGGCGACGUCAAGGUUCAACUCUUUCAAGAAUCCUCUGUACACUGAUCCGAACCCGCCUUCCCCGAGCUUGUGCUCGUCGGAGAAGUCGUCGGUGGCGAUGGCGAGCUCGCCAAAGCGGAAUCUCUUCGGCCCUGUCCCCUUCUCGAAGUCGUCUUCCAUGGCCGUCUCAUCAUCGAAGAUGCCCCCCUCUUCCAUCUCCUGCUCCUUCGUCAACCCAGCAUGCUUCCGCCGCCGGCGCAAGACAAACCGGACUGAGAAACCAAGAACCACCAAGAACGAGAUAGCGCUGACAGUCAGGCCUGCCACAAGCCCCGCUGACACUGAGGGAGGAGGUACUGGCGUCGCCGGAAUCGGCGGCGGCGGCGACGACGACAAUGGUGACGGCGCCGGCGGCAGAGUGAUGUUGAAUGGCCAAAGGUCGAACCUCAGGUAGCAGCUGUACCCCUUAAUGUUGCCAGCGCUUUGGUUGGUGUAGUACUGGCCGAGGUCGUCAACGUACCUCUUCAGGCACUUCUGGCACUCGCUCCCGCUAGGUCCCUCGUGCACUGCGCCAGCCCGUACAACCGCGACGUGCCGAGCUUCGAGUCGACGUACGGCAUGCUGUCGUUGAACAGUCUCAGCUUGUUGUCACCGGCCCUGUCCGCGAGUUUGUUCAUCAGCUCCCGCCUCGUGUCGUUCAUGGCCGUCAUGUUCUCGACGUAAAGCCCGUUGAACGUGUAGGUGGAGCGAUUGACUUCGACCUUGCCGUAGGUGAGCUCGGAGAAAAAGGACGCAUCGGAGUAGCGGAGGAGGCAGGCGUCGUAGUUGGCCUUGACCGUCCGGCUUCCGGGGCACACCUGCUUGAUCCCGGCGGGCGCUCCGGCGAGGCAUUUCUUGCACUCCGUCGCGUUGUAGUCGGCGUGGCACAUGAUAAGGCCGAAUACCUGGUAGGCAGUACCCGUCCCGACCGAGCUGGUGUUAAACCAACCAUCGUCGGUGGCGGCCGUGGCGAGCGUGGAGAGGAGCUGGUCGAGGUUCUUCUCGAACUGGUUGCCCACGGUGUAGUUGCCGGUGGUCGAGCAGUCUGGCCAGAGCGGCUCUUCGUAGUUGCUCCGAGCAACUGCCGCCGAGGCAACCACGGCGAGGAGGAAGAGGAUGAUGACAAGGCGAGGAGCCAUAGCUGGCGACGCCUUGAAUUUGCUAGGAACAUGAAUGCUUUGGUCCCAAUUUAUCUUGGAUGACAAUUGAAGGGACGGGGUUCAUGUGCAGUUUUUUCAAAGAGAACUAGUGUUCGAUUACGCGUUGGAUCAUAUAGUAUACACUACUGGUUGGCCACUUGGCCAGAUCACUGUUUGGUGUUUGCACCGUAUAUAUGUACCGUGACCGAGUCUGUCUCGCGGUUAACUAAAAGGGGUCGUUAGCUGAUUGGAAUGAAUGGGUCUAUCUCUCUAGUAAGGGGUAAUUUUUUUGGACACCAUUGGCGAUAAUGCAUAGGAACCAGUCAGCUUUGCAAUUGCAUAGUAAGGAUUACGUACGAAAAUGAUUCGGUCCACCGCAAAAGAAAAAAAGAAGAAGAAGAAGACGACUCGGUCCGUGCGCCCGAUCCAACGAAAAGUAAUCGGCUGUGUUUCCACUGCUGGAGUGCUGGUACUGCUCCCUGUCACAGCCGAAGAUGUGUAGCCGAAAGCAUCAAUCGGCGCUAGGAACGUUCCCUACUACCGAACACGCUUUUCGCAUACAGUUGAGCGGACUGCAUGAAAGAAACGGAAAGGCUAAAAAACUGUCGACACAUUUUUCUCUAGAAAUAUGUCGAUUUCUGAUCCAUUAGAUCAACUGUAGGAUUCGGGCUAUUUUGGUUGACGAAAAUAAAAUUGUACUGUAAAGAAUCGAACUAGGAUCUCCAGUGGCUUGUCCAGCGGCCCUGACCAACUGAUCGAGCAAAGAUUUUGGCUUGAAUUAAAAUUACAUACUAAUUACACUUAAAUUGCAUAUUAUUUACAUAUGUAAUUUAGAGACUUACAUUGUAAAUACACUAAAAUUACAUAUGUAAUUUAUAGACUUACAUAUGUAAUUUUAGCACUUACAUUGUAAAUAUACUAAAAUUACAUAUGUAAUUUAUGAACUUACAAUGUAAAUACAUACCGACUAUUUUUUUUGUGAAAAAUAUGGCGCUAUAAAUAUAGCUGCACCCGAAAGAAAAUGUCUACGAAAAUCAUGAUUUUCACGUGCGGCUAGCGCAACCGUUGUGAAAACGAAAAAUCACGAAAAAAGAUAAAAAUUCCAAAAAUCAAAAAAUAAACUGCCGCCACGUACGGCUCGCUACGGUUGUCUAUCCUCAGCGUGUUGUCACCGGCCCUCUCCGCUAGCUUGUUCAGAAACUGCCAUCGCGUGUUGUUCAUGGUGGUCACGUUCUGGACGACGAUUUGGUCACCGGCUAAUUUUGUGUAGCUGAUGUUGGUGCUGGCGUCGUAGGCGGAGAAGAAAGGCUUGUCGGAGUAGCGGAGGAGGCAGGCGUCGUUGCUGGCGGUCACCGCCCGGCUUCCGGGGCACUCCUGUCUGACCCCAGCGGGCGCCCGGGCAAGGCAUUCCUUACACCUCGUCGCAUCGCCGGCGUCGGCGUAGCACAUGAUGAGGCCGAACGCCUGGUCGGGACCCGUCCCGACCGAGCUGGUGUUGAACCAGUCGCCGGCGAUGGCGCCGGCAGAGAGGCUGGAGAGGAGCUGGUUGAGGUUCUUCUCGAACUGGCUGCCCCUGGUAUAGUUACCGGUGGUCGAGCAGUCUGUCCUGAACCACUGAUCUACUAUCUCGUUGCUCUGAGCAACUGCCGCCGAGGCAACCAUGGCGAGGAGGAGGAGGAUGACAAGCCGCGAUCAGAAAGUAUUUUCUACACCUAGGUACCAUGGCACCUAGGUGUAUGCAUAUAAUUUAAAUAAUUAUAUAAAAAAUACAUAAAAUUUAAUAAGAUAGUCCAUGAUAAUAUAAGACACUAUGCAAAUAUGUAAGUCUAAAUUCGAUCGAUAUAUGAAGAAACAAAAAUAACAAAUUUUAUCGGCACUGUACGGGUACUAUUGACUGUCUGAUUUUAUUAUUUUUGUUUCUCUAGUUGUAGAUUAAAUUUAGUCAUGCAUGUUUGUAUAUAGACUUGUAUCAUCACAAACGAUGUUACUAAUUUUUUUUAAUUUUUUCUAUAACUAUUUGAGUCGUAUGCAAAUGAUACAAGUCACGAUGCCAUGCCCAUGACCGGCUAGCUGGCGACGCUCUUGAUUUGCUAUGAACAUGAAGGCUUUGAUCCCAAUUUAUCUUGGAUUACAAUUGAAGGGAUGGAGUGCAUAUGUAUGCAUGUUUUUUUUUAAGACAACUAGUAGCGGUCAAGCACCAGUUCUCGAUGAUACGCGCUGGACCAUGUCUAGUUGGACACUUGGCAAGAUACUCCUAAUUAUUUGGUGUGUGUAUCGUACCGUACCGUGACCGAGUGGGUGUGUUCGGAUGCCCCUUUUCUCAUCCCCUCAUCAUCGCUUUCCACGUGCACGCUUUUUAAACUGUUAAAUGGUAUGUUUUUUAAAAAAGUUUUUAUACGAAAGUUGCUUAAAAAAAUCAAAUUAAUCUAUUUUUUAAAAAAAUUAGCUAAUAUUUAAUUAAUCACGCGCUAAUGGACUACUCUGUUUGCCGUGCGUUACCGUUCCAGCUGGGAUAUGGAGAUCACCUGUGUUCGUUACUUCUGGAUAGGAGCGAAUCCCUCCAGCACGAAAAAUGGGGUGAUCCAUUAACACGUGAUUAAUUAAGUAUUAGCAAAUUAUUUUUUAAAAAAUGGAUCAAUAUAAUUUUUUAAGCAAUUUUCGUAUAGAAACUUUUUAUAAAAAACACACCGUUUAGUAGUUUAAAAAGCGUGCUUAUGAAAUACAAGAGAGAGAGGUUAGGAACCUGGGUUGCCGAACACAUGAGGUCGUUACGUGAUUGGAAUGAAUGGGUCUCUCUCUCUCUGGUGGUAAUUUUUUUGGACGCCAUUGGUAAUAUUGCAUAGGAACCAGCCAGCUUGCAAUUGCACGCCUGGCUGGAUGAGUCAGUACUUGAGGAUUAUUGGGCUGUCCCAUCCUAUAGAUCGAAUAAAGUGGGUGAAGUACGGAUAUUUUGCUGUUUUCGCAUGCCACGGCCUUCCUCAUUCUCUCUCAACUCACUGUAGUCACCGCCCUAAGGGCAUCCAUAAUAUACAUCUAAAGUGGAUAGUAAGGAAUAAAAUACCACUACUACCCGGUUGUAUACAUUGUGAGAGCAGUAAGUAGCUAAUACUAAGUAAUAUGCUUACUACCUAGUAAUAAGGAAUAAACAAAUGAUUUCUCUCAUUUUUCUCUCAUGGCUAAUGAUUGUGGGGUCCAGCUUACUACCCAUUUUUGUUCUUUCACCAUUGUGGCUACAACAACAACUAAUACCCACUGACACAGGGCUCACCCUUAUUCACAAAGUAGGGAGUAAACAUUGGUGAUGCCUUAACCAACGAGACCGUAACAGUGAGCAUAUUGGACUUGGACCAAGAUCAGCCCCAAAUAAUUUUAGGCCUUCUUCUUUUCUAGACACUUUUCUAAUAAGUUAUCGUGAUAUGCUUUUUUUUUUUAGGAAAGGCAUUGCGCCCAGCUUUCACUAGAAAGCGUAAGAGUUCAUUACAAAAGCUAAAAGAAAACGAAAGCAAUAUCAUGCUGGGGAUUCCAGCUGACUAUGAAAGGUCCUGAGCACGCAGGCUCAUUCAAAAGCUGCUGGCACAGCCACAACCAGCCAGAGAGAAAACACUACUGCAAACAGAGAACUAAUCAGUGAUCGAAGGACUGCAGCGAAGAUCUCCUGUCUCGUGGAAGCUGGCAAGCAACAAGCCCCUUAGCGUAUCCAAGUCUCCCCUCAUUUUCACCGGCGCCAAACGUCUCCACUGUACCAGAAAAGACACAAUCUUAUAAGAUAAUAUCAUAAUGUCAGCUACUUCCUCCGUUUUACAAUGUAAGUCAUUCUAACAUUUUCCACAUUCAUAGUGAUGUUAAUGAAUCUAGAUAGAUAUAUAUGUCUAGAUUCAUUAACAUCAAUAUGAAUAUAGGAAAUGCUAUAAUGACUUACAUUGUGAAACGGAGGGAGUAGCAACUUAUUGUUAAAAACCCAGUCGUUUCUCACACUCCACAAAGCCCAGAAACAUGCAGCAAUCAAAGUGAGCCCAACAAGAUUCUUUUCCCUAUUUUUGUUCUGAACAAUUUCUAAGAGAUCAGCUCUGGAAGUAGGGACUCUAUCCCAAUGUAAAGUAUCUCUAAUAAUAUUACACCACAGGAACUGAGCAGGGGCACAUCUAAACAUAAGAUGAUCAACAUAUUCUUCUAAGCCACACAAUUUGCACUCAAAACUCCCCCCCCCCCCCCCAAAUCAUCUUUUUCGGCUGAUUAGCAACUUGGAUUCUUCCUUUCAAGGCUAGCCAUAAGAAGAUCUUGAUUUUCAGAGGGGCUGGGUGUUGGCAACUUUUUGUGACAAGUUGACAAACACGAUCGCAGCACCUAACGCUUUGCGGUGAUCUCAGAGUCGCCAACCACCUCAAUCUAGCAAAAGCUAAACCAAGAUGGGUUUUGAUAACUAAACUGGCUAGCGGAGCCGAUUCUAGAUAGAGCGAUAGAUAACUACCCGUCUCGUGGGCAAAACGGAAUAUUUUCAGGAUAAACCUACAAAGAAGUAUCGCACUCUCGCAGCGGCGGCGGACGAUUUACGAAGCAAAUCGACAAAGAUGAACAAACUAAACUAUAAUUAGAAGCAAAAGUAAAAGAACGAUUCGAUUGAUUGAUUGUUGGUUGAUUGUUUACAAUGAACCGGCCUUACCCCCUUAUAUAAGGGUUGGUCUUGCCCUCUACAGGCCCUCCUCCACGUUCAACUCGGGAUAGAAUCCAAAGGAAACCGAAACAUGCCUUCCCGAGCAAGGAAACCGCGAGACCCAACGAAACAGACUCGGGCUCGGACUCUGCCGGUCAGACCGACCACACAUUGCCGGUCUGACCGGUCCACUGUCAGCGGUCUGACCGGCCAACUAACGGCGGUCAGACCGGCCCUCUCAGAGGAAAACCGGUAGACUUCCAAACUUUGGCAAUUUUUCCUAUUUUAUCCCUAGGUGCCAAAUGUGGGUGCAUUUCUAUAUGGACUCUAUACUCUACUUCUAAUAUUCCUUAUUUUUAAUUCCAAAUUUCUAUUAUUUCUUAAUUGUAUUUCUAUAUGGACUCUAUACUAUACGUCUAAUAUUCCUUAUUUUUAAUUCCGAAUUUCAGUUAUUUCCUAAUUGAAUUUCUAUAUGUACUCUAUACUCUACUUCUAAUAUUUCUUAUUUUUAAUUCCAAAUUUAUAUUAUUUCAUGUAUUUCUAUAUGGACUCUAUACUCUACUUCUAAUAUUCCUUAUUUUUAAUUCUGAAUUUCAGUUGUUUCCUAAUUUUAUUUCUAUAUGGACUCUAUACUCUACUUCUAAUAUUUCUUAUUUUUAAUUCCGAAUUUCAGUUGUUUCCUAAUUGUAUUUCUAUAUGGACCCUAUACUCUACUUCUAAUAUUCCUUAUUUUUAAUUCCGAAUUUCAGUUAUUUCCUAAUUGUAUUUCUAUAUGGACUCCAGUAUCCUCUUCUAAUAUUCUUUAUUUUUAAUUCCGAAUUUCAACUAUUUCUAAAUUGUAUUUCUAUAUGGACUCUAGUCUCCUCUUCUAAUAUUCCUUAUUUUUUUAAUUUCGAAUUUCAGCUAUUUCUAAAUUGUAUUUCUAUAUGGACUCUGCUUUUUCUUUUUCUCCGAUUAAUGUGAGAAUUUCUAGGCCAUGAGAGCGAACGUGGAGGCUCCUUUUUCUAUUCCUUUAAUAAUAUAGUAGGUAUAUUUAACACUGAAUCAAAUGAUAGGAAAAAAAAUUAAUAAUUAUACAAGAAAUAUUAAUUCUUUUCAUAACUACCCUUCUACUACACUAGCUACUACACCUAGUAUAGAGGUGUAGUAGCAACGAAUUUUCACCCUUAGAUCCCAUAUCUUCAACGGCCCACAUCCAACCAAAGAUACACUAAAAAAAUUAAUAAAAAAAUUAAUCCAAUGUGCAGUUGAUCUUAUACACAAAAUGCAUUGCUGAGAUGUCAAAUAUGUCAUCUUAGCAAGGACGAUGUCUGAGUGUUAGGAACGCCUAUGUUGCCGCUGCUGGUGCUGCUCCCUGUUACAGCCGAAGAUGUGUAGCCGAAAGCAUCAAUCGGUGGCAGGAACGUCGCCACCGGCAUCCUCGCCGGGAGGCUCGGCGGCGGCGCCUCACCUCGCAGCACGCUGACGGCCUGCCUGAUCACCGGCCUCACGCUCCUGUCAGGGUGCGCGCACCAGAGCCCGACGAUCAUGACACGCUCCAUCUCCCCGCCGUUGAACUCGCCAUCGAGCCGGUGAUCGGCGGCGUCAAGAAUUCUCCCCUUGCCGUACAGAUCCCAGACCCAUUGAACAAGGUGGAUCAUGUCUUGUCCUUUCUCAGCUUGGUGUUCCGGUGCCAUUACCGGCGGUCGGCCGCAGGCAAUCUCGAGGAGGACGAUACCGAAGCUGUAUAUGUCGGACUCAGUGUUGGCCCUACCGGUGAUCAUGCACUCCGGAUCCAUGUACCCCAUCGUGCCGGCGAUCACCGUGGUGUGGGAGCCCCGGCCAUGGUCGACGAGCCUCGCGAGGCCGAAGUCGCCAAGCUUGGCGUUGAAGGCGGCGUCAAGCAUGAUGUUGCUCGGCUUGAUGUCGCGGUGCACCACACACUGCUCCCACCCCUCGUGCAGGUACAGCAACGCCGAGCCGAUCCCGAGCACGAUCUCGUGCCUGAGUGGCCAUGGGAGCGCGUUGGCGCUAUGGUUGUAUAGGUGGGUGUCGAGGCUGGCAUUGGGCAUGAGCUCGUAGACGAGGAGGAGCUCGCCGCCGCCAUGGCACCAGCCGAUGAGCUGCACCAGGUUGCGGUGGCGGAGGCGGCUGAUGAUCUGCACCUCCGACGCGUACUCCUUCCUCCCCUGCUUUGAGCUCUUGGACACUCUUUUAAUGGCGACGUCAAGGUUCAAUUCUUUCAAGAACCCUCUGUAAACUGACCCGAAACCGCCUUCCCCGAGCUUGUGCUCGUCGGAGAAGUCGUCGGUGGCGAUGGCGAGCUCGCCGUAGCGGAACCGUUUGGGUCCAGUCCCCUUCUCAAAGUCACCGGCCUCAUCGUCGAAGAAGUCACCCUCGUCCAUCUCCUGCUCCAUCGUUAGGCCGGCGUGCUUCCGCCGGCGGUGCAAGAGGAGCCAGAUUGAGACACCAAGAACCACCACGAACGAGACGGCGCCGACGGUCAAUCCGGCCACGAGUCCUAUCGACACCGAGGGAGGAGGAGGUGCAGGCGGUGCCGGAGGCGGCGACGGCGGCGGGGGCAGCGUGAUGUCUAUCGGCCAAAGCUGGUACCUGAGGUAGCAGCUGUACCCCUUAAUGGCGCCGCCGCUGUUGUUGGGGAAGGUGUUGCUGAGGUCAUUGACAUAGCCGCUCAGGCACCUCCGGCACUCGCUCGCCGCCAGGUCCCUCGUGCACUGCGCCAGCCCGUACAACGCCGACGUGCCGAGCUUCGAGUCGACGUACGGCAAGCUGCCGUUGUCCAGCCUGAGCUUGGUGUCGCCGGCCCUCUCGGCGAGCUGGCUCAUCAGCUGCCACCGCGUGUCGUUCAUGGCGGUCAUAUUCUCGACGUAGAGGUUCGUGUCGUCGACGUCCAAGGAAACGUUGGUGUUGCCGCCAUAGGUGGUGAGCUCGGAGAAGAAGGGCUCGUCGGAGUAGCGGAGGAGGCAGGCGUCGUAGUUGGCGUUCACCGACCGGCUUCCGCGGCACGGAUGCUGGACCACAGCGGGCGCCAUGGCGAGGCAUUUCUGGCACUCCGUCGCGUUGCUGUCGGCGUAGCACAUGAUGAGGCCGAACACCUGGUCGGCGCCCGUCCCGACCGAGCUGGUGUUGAACCAGUCCCCGGCGAUGGCGCCGCCGGAGAGGCUGGUGAACAGCUGGUCGAGGUUCUUCUUGUACUGGCUGUCGCCGGUGUAGUUGCCGGUGGUCGAGCACGACGGCUGAUACGGGAGGUUCAGGUUGUGAUGACCGAUUGCCGUCUCGCAUAGCGAGCCGACGACGACGGCGAGGAAGAGGAGGAAGAUGACAAGGUCCGAGGCCAUGGCCAGCCAGCGACGCCACUAGUUCCUAGGAACAGGAAGGCUUUUUCGAUGACGAAUUAGGGAUGGAGACUGUUAGAGUUUGUGUGGAUCUCCUGUGAUGUUUUCUUCGCGUUUAGCUACCGAUGUCGAUUUUAGGGCUGGUUUUAUAACAGAGACUUAUGAAA
This 30649-nucleotide long non-coding RNA is filed under the name Oryza sativa (Asian cultivated rice). RNAcentral's name for it is "long non-coding RNA (OSAT_LNC000220)". Lineage: Eukaryota; Viridiplantae; Streptophyta; Magnoliopsida; Poales; Poaceae. The record is from RNAcentral.